UAUUGAGAAAGACGGAAAUUUAAAUUUAAAAAAUCAAAUUUCCCGCUAACUGUCAUAGUCUAAAAAGUAGUAAUGUUUUCGACCGCUAGGUUGAAGAUGCUACAAAAGAUGCCGCCGUAUUCAUACCGCGGUAGAGCACUAUAGAUAUGAGUACUUUCAUCCGCCAUUUUCAGUCCUCGAGUAAGCGGAAGUUUUAAAAAAACGUAUGUAGUGAGUGUUAGUCUGUAGGUUUUAUCGUUAUUUUUUGCAAUUUUUUAAAUUAUUUGUGAAUAAGUGAAGAAGAAAUUUUAUUGAAAUCGUUUAAUAGUCAUUUAAUAGUCGUAAACAACUAUUAAUAUCUGUCUGAAAACAUAUUGAAAAAUACAUUUUCAAUAAAAAUUUCUAAGCUCACUACAAAGAUUUUUGGGCUUUGUCUAGCCAAAAUUGAAGUAUUGACUGCAAAUAAGACUGUUGAACCUCCAGUAAAGAAGCUACAAACAAGUGAUACUCAGUUUUGUGUGCAAACAUUUUUAAUUGAUGAGUUUAGCAAUUGGAUUUCUCGUUAUGAUGCAAAUAGCAUCUUUUAUUUAGCUGGCAGC
This is a long non-coding RNA of Polistes dominula (European paper wasp), 578 nucleotides long. Lineage: Eukaryota; Metazoa; Arthropoda; Insecta; Hymenoptera; Vespidae. The record is from RefSeq and is a predicted model, not a curated record.